RNAcentral lists this ribosomal RNA (253 nucleotides) under uncultured bacterium. RNAcentral's name for it is "partial 16S ribosomal RNA". It matches the Rfam family "Bacterial small subunit ribosomal RNA", at positions 524 to 776 of the family's 1533-position model. The record is from RNAcentral.
UACGUAGGGUGCGAGCGUUAAUCGGAAUUACUGGGCGUAAAGCGUGCGCAGGCGGUUCUGCAAGUCAGAUGUGAAAUCCCCGGGCUUAACCUGGGAACUGCGUUUGAAACUACGGAGCUAGAGUGCAGCAGAGGGGGGUGGAAUUCCACGUGUAGCAGUGAAAUGCGUAGAUAUGUGGAGGAACACCGAUGGCGAAGGCAGCCCCCUGGGCCGACACUGACGCUCAGGCACGAAAGCGUGGGGAGCAAACAGG